RNA transcript from Lates calcarifer (barramundi perch), 4726 nucleotides. It is a transcript of the gene named BAR/IMD domain containing adaptor protein 2b, with no coding region annotated. The transcript has 16 exons. The record is from RefSeq and is a predicted model, not a curated record. NCBI's taxonomy places the organism in Eukaryota, Metazoa, Chordata, Actinopteri, Centropomidae.
UGCGCUCCAACCAGGAGGCAGCGACUGACUGACUGGCUGCGUGGGGAGCCGGUGUGGGCGCAGCGGAGGACUUUCCUAUAUAAACCGGGAUCCCACGGCCAGACGAGCUCGUCUCUUCUCAGUCAGCGACAGACAGGAGCCGCAGUUCUCCCCCCUCCUCUUUCUCCUCCGCGAACAACCGCUGUUUCUCUCCUCCAGUCACAGUUAAGAAAAUCAUCUCAACCUCAACCUCCCCCCCCCCAAGGGAAAUUUUAGUCUAUGGUUCUGACUGACGCUCCAACAAGGAUGUCCCGGACCGACGAGGUGCACCGUAUAACGGAGAAUGUGUACAAGUCCAUCAUGGAGCAGUUCAACCCCUGCUUGCGGAACUUCAUAGCCAUGGGAAAAAGCUAUGAGAAGGCACUCACCAGUGUCACAUACGCUGCAAAGGGCUACUUCGACGCUCUGGUGCGGAUGGGCGAGAUGGCCAGCGAAAGUCAAGGCUCUAAGGAUCUUGGGGAGGUACUCUUUCAGAUGGCUGAAGUGCACAGACAGAUCCAGAUCCAGCUUGAGGAGAUGCUGAAGUCUUUCCACAAUGAGCUGCUCACAGAGCUGGAGAAGAAGGUCGAGCUGGAUGCACGCUACCUGAAUGCUGCGCUGAAAAAGUACCAGAUGGAACACAAGAGCAAAGGGGAGAGUCUGGAGAAGUGCCAGGCAGAGCUGAAGAAACUGCGCAGAAAAAGCCAGGGCAGCAAACACCCCUCCAAGUAUGGAGACAAGGAAAUGCAGUAUGUGGAGGCCAUCAGCAACAAGCAGAGCGAGCUGGACAACUAUAUCGCUGAGGGCUACAAGAACGCUCUGUCCGAGGAGAGGAGGAGGUACUGCUUCCUGGUGGACCGUCAGUGUGCCGUGGCCAAGAACAGCAGUGCCUACCACAACAAGGGGAAGGAGCUUUUAUCCCAGAAGGUCCCGGUGUGGCAGCAGGCGUGUGCCGAGCCCAACAAACUGCCAGAUCGUGCCAUGUUUCUGGCCCAGCAGAUGAGCGGUGCAGCAGGCACCAUGGCUCCCGGUGCUCAUCAUCCAGGCAUGCCCAUGUCAGAGCCCAUCCCUGGUGCUAAACCCCUGCCAGUACCUCCAGAGCUGGCAGCCCUCAGGGCCAGUGGGGGUAUGGGACAGCAGAGGCUGAUGGGAGGUGUGGAAGGAGGGAUGCCGGUGAUGAACGGCACAGCCGGCGCCCACGGGGGAGAAGACUACCAGCAGUGGAUGGAGGGCAAGGUGGCCCAGGGCAAGGCCUCACCCCAGACCCAGCGGCACGGAGGGGAGGUCUAUUCCAACACCCUGCCUGUACGCAAGGCUGCCCCAGCCAAGAGCAAGACCACACUGACGGAGACCCGUACACUGCCCCGGUCCAGCUCCAUGGCUGCAGGGCUGGAGAGAAAUGGCAGAACUCGUGUCCAGGCCAUCUUCUCCCAUGCUGCCGGCGACAACAGUACCCUGCUCAGCUUUUCAGAGGGCGAUGUAAUAACCCUGCUGGUCCCUGAGGCCCGCGAUGGAUGGCACUAUGGAGAGAAUGAGAAGACCAGGAUGCGUGGCUGGUUUCCCUUCUCUUACACGAGGGUGAUCUCUGACAGUGAAGGCGACUCCAUGAGGCAACUUCGAGUACACAACCUCCACCACGGGAAAAGCAGCAGCACGGGCAACCUUCUAGAGAGAGAAGACAUGGCUCUCCCCGUCCCUGAUUACGCCAUGCAAUCCCGUAUGGCAGCUCAGAGUGCUGCUGCGCUGCAUGGCAGACAACAACGCCCCUACAGUGUUGCGGUGCCAGGCUUCUCACAGCAAGGGGUUGAAGAGUACGAGCCCCGCUUCCCCACAAGAGACAAAAGUCGAGUGCAAACGACUGGAAGCUGCCAGUGUUUCUUCUUUCUCCACUAAAUUAAGUCCAAGUACAGGGCCUGAUUACGCCCGCUUUUGAGUGACCAAAACCUAUACAAUGAUCCACCUGACGAGCCAGCCGUGGAGGCCCCGGCCAAACCCCCCCUCUCUGACGAUGAAAACUGAAGCGGAGGACGAUCAGCUUGAUGAAGCUCACUAUGACUCCUUGGAGAAGGCCUCGCCUCCUCCAGGGGACAACUGAGGUCUCCCUCAGUCUGAACCAGCUGUAGGCAGAUCACUGGUGCACAACUGGCACCUCCGCCCCUCAGCUGCGAAGCUCUGAUUCAACCACAUUAUUACAUAGCGCGAGUAAAUAAUAAGAAUCAAACAUGACCAGCAAAUGAAACCACAAUUCACAUUUACAGUAAUCUCUGUAUUAGUUGAGAGAUAAUGUAAAUAAAAGCUAGAACUGAAUUGUGCUUGAUCUUCUAGCAUGGAAAGCACAUUGAAAGACAGAACAAUACAAAAAUCAGGCCUUUGAUUGUUUAGCUAUACUCACAUUCCUGGGUAAUAGUGAUGGACAGCAGUGAAGGUGUUGAUGCACAAAGAGCAUGUGGUGUGAAAUAAGAAGGACAGGUGAUUCGGUGCAGCAGUAGAUAAAACUGAUUUGAUUUCAUUUGAUUUGAAAAGAAUAGAUGUUCACCUGAGUGGCUCACAUAGAUUCUUGGUUCAUUUUCAAAGCCUGAAUUAUUGCCUCUUACAUUGUGUCACUACCCAAAGACUGAUGACUGGCUCCAUCUCCUGUACACUCACAGGGUCCAUAGCUGCCUGAGAGGUCGCCUGAGGAAGUCUUUGUGCUUUUAAUCUACAGCUUUCCUGUCCCUGCCGUGUCAGCAAAAGGGCUUUAACGUCGGUAAGCUAGACAUCUUAACAGGUCUUUCACCUUUUAGCCUCACCUCUUAAUACUGCCUUCUUAAAGGGCAAGCGUACAGUUGUCAAAAAAAGAAAAAAAAAAACUGCAGGAAAACAGAGAAGUUUAUUUGUCGAAACCAAGGUGGAUAAUCUAAAGUGCGAGCCAGACGUUUUGGCAAGACGAUGGGAGAAAAAAAAAAUGUGCUGAAACACACAACAGAAAAUAGACUAGCCAGAAAAAUCAACAGUAUCUGUGGAAUAAAUUUGUGCUGAGUGAUGGCAUCAAAACUGAUAAGCACACUACUCAUAGUACUGUAUCCUCAAAUAAUUGGUAUACUCACAAGAAAUCUUAUAUUCUGUAAUAUUAGUUAUAAGCAGCACUGCAGGUGUUUGUACCUACAGUAAUAAUGUACCGUUGAUUCAUUUUUGAUUAAUAUGUUGUUAGUGAACAAACAGUUUGUAACAUCUUCUUAAAGCAAGAUUUUCAACAGAAAUAUUCAACAAUACAAUCAACUGGAGAAAGAUUUCGUGAUUGCAUAUUGUCUUCUAUUAUGUUUAAAAUAACUAUGGACUGUGAAUGAGAGAGACACAGUCAGGGUUACACUAAUACAGGCUGUUAUUGGUUAGACUGAUAUUGACUUUUCUUUUCUUUGUUGGAAAAUAGCCUGGUGUCUAAGCGUGUUUCGUUAGGUUUGAUCUAUUUGUUUUGACGUCGUCUCUGAGAUUUCUGCCUCCAUCCCAAUGACAAUUAAGGUACAUGGAACUUGCUCACAGAGUUACAGAUAUUUAAUGCUGUGUGAGCAUAAAGAUUUCAGAAAUUUCAAAACCAUGUCUUUGCAGAGACUGUGCCAGUUAUUUUGGAUAAUGGACACACCGGUCAACAUGGACACACUGACAGCAGUUUUCACAGCAACCACUAUACCAAUCUAAUGGAAAAAAAAAAAAGUCUAUUAAAACUGUUGUCAGUGAGGUCUGUGGAUUAAAGUCCUUAAAAUGUUAUUUUUAUGCUUUGAGCAAGUGAAAUUCCAUUUGCAUUAACUGAUAAGGACUCAACUAACCUGGACAACUGUCUACUAACUACUGAGAAAGUCUAGGUGAACCUCAUUUUUAAUUCCCCCCCAUCAAUCUGAUCUGUAUUAUUAAACAUAUUGGUUUGUUCAGUGUAACUCUAUGAUAAUAUUAUAUCAUAUAAUAUUAAGACAAGGAAAUUUUUAAAAUAUAAUCCUUAUUAUUUGAAAAUUUAAAAGAAAAAUCUGAAAGUCUGACAUAUUAGUUACAUACAGUGUCGACAAUGUUACAAAACUUGCAUUGCAGACAACACAGUGUCAUGCUUUCAGUGAAAUGUGCCCUAGUUUAAAUUCAUUGUUAAAUUGAAAGACAAGUCACCUCAUAAUAAUUAGUUUCUACUCGUAUAUAGUUGGUGCUCACGUUGGAAUAACUGCACUUUAAAUCUUGUGUGGAGGCAGAGGAAACCUGCACUGGCCUCAUAUGGGCUGAAAAGUUCAAGUCUGUUAACACCGUUCCAACCACACCCAACUGUGACGUAAUAUUGCAGUGAAAUACUGUUGUGUAGCAGUGGUGUUUUCUACCUGGGCUGUCGUGCUAACUAGUGGUGGCAUAUGCUUUUUUUACACUCUGUGCAGCUGAGAUGUAGUGUGGUGGUGUUGAGUGUGGUCAGAGCUUUAAAAGACUGAUAUUUUUUAACCUCAGGGGCUUGUGCAGCUGUUUCUUUCUCUCAUAAUCAAGUGUGGAUAUUCUUAAAAAUAUCCAGUAUAAAUCCAGAUAUAUUUGUAUCUAAACUAAUAAAGCCUAUAUUGGUAUAACUGUACAUGAUGUAUAAGGACUAAUAUGAUACAAGUGUAAUGACGACAGUCAAAACUGUAUCAUUAUGUGAUACGAUGGCAAACACAGUGUCUGUUUUUCAAUUUAAUUUUGAGAAUAAAGAAUCAAGUAUUUACCCACA